CCUCCAGACUCCUACGGGAGGCAGCAGUGAGGAAUAUUGGUCAAUGGGCGGGAGCCUGAACCAGCCAAGCCGCGUGAAGGAAGAAGGCGCCAGGCGUCGUAAACUUCUUUUGUCGGGGAACAAAGGGCGCCACGCGUGGCGUUGUGAGUGUACCCGAAGAAAAAGCAUCGGCUAACUCCGUGCCAGCAGCCGCGGUAAUACGGAGGAUGCGAGCGUUAUCCGGAUUUAUUGGGUUUAAAGGGUGCGUAGGCGGUCCGGAAGGUCAGGGGAAAAGGCCCGGGGCUCACCCCCGGCGAGCCGUUGAAACUGGGGAUCUUGAGUGGGCGAGAAGUAUGCGGAAUGCGUGGUGUAGCGGUGAAAUGCAUAGAUAUCACGCAGAACUCCGAUUGCGAAGGCAGCAUACCGGCGCCCGACUGACGCUGAGGCACGAAAGCGUGGGGAUCGAACAGGAUUAGAUACCCUCGUAGC
Molecule: ribosomal RNA, 468 nt
Filed under: uncultured bacterium
Lineage: Bacteria
Description: bacterial SSU rRNA
Rfam family: Bacterial small subunit ribosomal RNA
Source: RNAcentral